GAGUUUGAUCGUGGCUCAGAUUGAACGCUGGCGGCGUGCUUAACACAUGCAAGUCGAGCGGUAACAGGCGUAGCAAUACGUGCUGACGAGCGGCGAACGGGUGAGUAAUGCUUCGGAAUCUUCCUCGUAGUGGGGAAUAACCUGGGGAAACUCAGGCUAAUACCGCAUACGAACUACGGUUGAAAGCAGGGGAUCGCAAGACCUUGCGCUAUGAGAUGAGCCGAAGUCGGAUUAGCUAGUUGGUGAGGUAACGGCUCACCAAGGCGACGAUCCGUAGCUGGUCUGAGAGGACGACCAGCCACACUGGGACUGAGACACGGCCCAGACUCCUACGGGAGGCAGCAGUGGGGAAUAUUGGACAAUGGGGGCAACCCUGAUCCAGCGACGCCGCGUGUGUGAAGAAGGCCUGCGGGUUGUAAAGCACUUUUAGUGGGGAUGAAAAGCCGAAGGCUAAUACCUUUCGGUCUUGACCUAACCCAAAGAAAAAGCACCGGCUAACUCUGUGCCAGCCGCCGCUGU
This 519-nucleotide ribosomal RNA is filed under the name uncultured Gammaproteobacteria bacterium. RNAcentral's name for it is "bacterial SSU rRNA". It matches the Rfam family "Bacterial small subunit ribosomal RNA", at positions 9 to 521 of the family's 1533-position model. The record is from RNAcentral. Lineage: Bacteria; Pseudomonadati; Pseudomonadota; Gammaproteobacteria.